AGUAAAAGUCGUAACAAGGUUUCCGUAGGUGAACCUGCGGAAGGAUCAUUAUUGAAGUUUAACUCAGAGGGUUGUAGCUGGCUCCUCCAAGAGCAUGUGCACGCCCUUUGUCUUUACUCUUUUCCACCUGUGCACCUUUUGUAGACCAUGAGUGAACUCUCGAGAGCGUUGGCAACGACGUGAUCGGUUUGGGGAUUUGCGUUCAGCUUUCCCUGUAGCUCGUGGUUUAUGUCUUAUAAACUCUAUAGUCUGUUUUGAAUGUCUUAUGGGUUUUGCGCUGUAAUGGUGCGACCUUUAUAAACUAUACAACUUUUAGCAACGGAUCUCUUGGCUCUCGCAUCGAUGAAGAACGCAGCGAAUUGCGAUAUGUAAUGUGAAUUGCAGAAUUCAGUGAAUCAUCGAAUCUUUGAACGCACCUUGCGCUCCUUGGUAUUCCGAGGAGCAUGCCUGUUUGAGUGUCAUUAAAUUCUCAACCUCUCCAGCUUUCACAAGUUGGUUGAGCGUUGGAUGUGGGGGUUGCGGGCUUCUCAGAGGUCGGCUCCCCUUAAAUACAUUAGCGGAAACCUUAUCCUUUCCUCUUGGUGUGAUAGUUUAUCUGCAUCUUGAUGAUUGGGUCUUUGCUGGUUUUUCUGCUUCUAACCGUCCAUUAGCUUGGACAAUUUCUUUUGACUUGACCUCAAAUCAGGUAGGACUACCCGCUGAACUUAAGCAUAUCAAUAAGCGGAGGA
Molecule: ribosomal RNA, 728 nt
Filed under: uncultured fungus
Lineage: Eukaryota; Fungi
Description: eukaryotic LSU rRNA
Rfam family: 5.8S ribosomal RNA (bases 308-461)
Source: RNAcentral